Molecule: transfer RNA, 79 nt
Filed under: Bacillus anthracis str. Sterne
Lineage: Bacteria; Bacillati; Bacillota; Bacilli; Caryophanales; Bacillaceae
Also listed under: 3 other names
Description: tRNA-His
Rfam family: tRNA
About the family: Transfer RNA (tRNA) molecules are approximately 80 nucleotides in length. Their secondary structure includes four short double-helical elements and three loops (D, anti-codon, and T loops). Further hydrogen bonds mediate the characteristic L-shaped molecular structure. tRNAs have two regions of fundamental functional importance: the anti-codon, which is responsible for specific mRNA codon recognition, and the 3' end, to which the tRNAs corresponding amino acid is attached (by aminoacyl-tRNA synthetases). tRNAs cope with the degeneracy of the genetic code in two manners: having more than one tRNA (with a specific anti-codon) for a particular amino acid; and 'wobble' base-pairing, i.e. permitting non-standard base-pairing at the 3rd anti-codon position.
Source: RNAcentral
GCGGUUGUGGCGAAGUGGUUAACGCACCGGAUUGUGGCUCCGGCAUUCGUGGGUUCGAUUCCCAUCAGUCGCCCCAUUU